Molecule: ribosomal RNA, 274 nt
Filed under: uncultured bacterium
Lineage: Bacteria
Description: partial 16S ribosomal RNA
Rfam family: Bacterial small subunit ribosomal RNA
Source: RNAcentral
AUACGGAGGGGGCUAGCGUUGUUCGGAAUUACUGGUCGUAAAGCGCGCGUAGGCGGAUUGGUUAGUUGGGGGUGAAAUCCCAGGGCUCAACCCUGGAACUGCCCUCAAUACUGCCAGUCUAGAGAUCGAGAGAGGUGAGUGGAAUUCCUAGUGUAGAGGUGAAAUUCGUAGAUAUUAGGAAGAACACCAGUGGCGAAGGCGGCUCACUGGCUCGAUACUGACGCUGAGGCGCGAAAGCGUGGGGAGCAAACAGGAUUAGAAACCCUAGUAGUCC